RNAcentral lists this ribosomal RNA (1441 nucleotides) under Salmonella enterica subsp. enterica serovar Enteritidis. Its description in RNAcentral is "partial 23S ribosomal RNA". It matches the Rfam family "Bacterial large subunit ribosomal RNA", at positions 161 to 1507 of the family's 2925-position model. Lineage: Bacteria; Pseudomonadati; Pseudomonadota; Gammaproteobacteria; Enterobacterales; Enterobacteriaceae. The record is from RNAcentral.
AAUCCAUAGGUUAAUGAGGCGAACCGGGGGAACUGAAACAUCUAAGUACCCCGAGGAAAAGAAAUCAACCGAGAUUCCCCCAGUAGCGGCGAGCGAACGGGGAGGAGCCCAGAGCCUGAAUCAGCAUGUGUGUUAGUGGAAGCGUCUGGAAAGGCGCGCGAUACAGGGUGACAGCCCCGUACACAAAAGCGCAUGUGCUGUGAGCUCGAUGAGUAGGGCGGGACACGUGGUAUCCUGUCUGAAUAUGGGGGGACCAUCCUCCAAGGCUAAAUACUCCUGACUGACCGAUAGUGAACCAGUACCGUGAGGGAAAGGCGAAAAGAACCCCGGCGAGGGGAGUGAAAAAGAACCUGAAACCGUGUACGUACAAGCAGUGGGAGCCCCACCACCAAAGCAUUUGCUGUACCGCGUUGACGGAGCGAAGCGACGUCAAACCGAUAAAACAGCAGUGUAAAGUGAGCCGCAGGGCGCUUUGCGCGACAGCGCAAAGGCAGGCGGUUUCGCGUAGCGAAAGCGAAUGCUUUGGGGUGGGGUGACUGCGUACCUUUUGUAUAAUGGGUCAGCGACUUAUAUUCUGUAGCAAGGUUAACCGAAUAGGGGAGCCGGAGGGAAACCGAGUCUUAAUUGGGCGUUAAGUUGCAGGGUAUAGACCCGAAACCCGGUGAUCUAGCCAUGGGCAGGUUGAAGGUUGGGUAACACUAACUGGAGGACCGAACCGACUAAUGUUGAAAAAUUAGCGGAUGACCUGUGGCUGGGGGUGAAAGGCCAAUCAAACCGGGAGAUAGCUGGUUCUCCCCGAAAGCUAUUUAGGUAGCGCCUCGUGAAUUCAUCUCCGGGGGUAGAGCACUGUUUCGGCUAGGGGGCCAUCCCGGCUUACCAACCCGAUGCAAACUGCGAAUACCGGAGAAUGUUAUCACGGGAGACACACGGCGGGUGCUAACGUCCGUCGUGAAGAGGGAAACAACCCAGACCGCCAGCUAAGGUCCCAAAGUCAUGGUUAAGUGGGAAACGAUGUGGGAAGGCCCAGACAGCCAGGAUGUUGGCUUAGAAGCAGCCAUCAUUUAAAGAAAGCGUAAUAGCUCACUGGUCGAGUCGGCCUGCGCGGAAGAUGUAACGGGGCUAAACCAUGCACCGAAGCUGCGGCAGCGACACUGUGUGUUGUUGGGUAGGGGAGCGUUCUGUAAGCCUGUGAAGGUGUGUCGUGAGGCAUGCUGGAGGUAUCAGAAGUGCGAAUGCUGACAUAAGUAACGAUAAAGCGGGUGAAAAGCCCGCUCGCCGGAAGACCAAGGGUUCCUGUCCAACGUUAAUCGGGGCAGGGUGAGUCGACCCCUAAGGCGAGGCCGAAAGGCGUAGUCGAUGGGAAACGGGUUAAUAUUCCCGUACUUGGUGUUACUGCGAAGGGGGGACGGAGAAGGCUAUGUUGGCCGGGCGACGGUUGUCC